RNAcentral lists this ribosomal RNA (464 nucleotides) under uncultured Klebsiella sp. RNAcentral describes it as "bacterial SSU rRNA". It matches the Rfam family "Bacterial small subunit ribosomal RNA", at positions 338 to 795 of the family's 1533-position model. The record is from RNAcentral. Lineage: Bacteria; Pseudomonadati; Pseudomonadota; Gammaproteobacteria; Enterobacterales; Enterobacteriaceae.
CCUACGGGGGCUGCAGUGGGGAAUAUUGCACAAUGGGCGCAAGCCUGAUGCAGCCAUGCCGCGUGUGUGAAGAAGGCCUUCGGGUUGUAAAGCACUUUCAGCGGGGAGGAAGGCGGUGAGGUUAAUAACCUCAUCGAUUGACGUUACCCGCAGAAGAAGCACCGGCUAACUCCGUGCCAGCAGCCGCGGUAAUACGGAGGGUGCAAGCGUUAAUCGGAAUUACUGGGCGUAAAGUGCACGCAGGCGGUCUGUCAAGUCGGAUGUGAAAUCCCCGGGCUCAACCUGGGAACUGCAUUCGAAACUGGCAGGCUAGAGUCUUGUAGAGGGGGGUAGAAUUCCAGGUGUAGCGGUGAAAUGCGUAGAGAUCUGGAGGAAUACCGGUGGCGAAGGCGGCCCCCUGGACAAAGACUGACGCUCAGGUGCGAAAGCGUGGGGAGCAAACAGGAUUAGAUACCCCAGUAGUC